RNAcentral lists this long non-coding RNA (578 nucleotides) under Homo sapiens (human). RNAcentral describes it as "HSALNT0180014". The record is from RNAcentral. Lineage: Eukaryota; Metazoa; Chordata; Mammalia; Primates; Hominidae.
AAGUAGUGGUUGACAUGCACAGUCGCAGUCUUUCUUCAAGGAGCAUCUGGCCCACGUUUCUGCCAUGGAGAACAGGUGUGACCUAAGUGCAGAGCCCUGAGCAGCUGACUUCUGCUUGGAAUUCUAAACUAAUGGACCAGACACAUGACCCAGUCUAACCAGCAUACUCCACCUGAUACAGGGAGAGGUUCGGUGAUGGACAUGUAACUCUGAGCCCAGCAAAGUUCUCCCUGUGAUAUUAUGUUGCUAAAAGAGGACCUUUCUGUCCAUGCCGAGAAAUCCAAGGUAUCUGAGGGUCAUAUAAUCAUGCUAUUAACAGGACUGAAAAUCUGAAUUCUCUACCUCAAAUAAAUGUUAGUAGGAACCAGGCAAAGAGGUGGGAAAAAUAGCAGAAGAUAAGAUUGGGACCCAGGAAGAUCCAGAGAAAUACACAAAGACCACCUGAUGUGUAUUUUACUCAAAUUACUUGUGCCUUAUCUUGUCUGGUAUAUUGUUUUGAGUCCCUCUGAGGCAGGGACAAAAUGGAAGCGGUUCUUUGAGAGCUAGAAGGAUGAUAAAGAGCAAGGUCUAUUUCUAAG